AGCGGGGUAGGACAGAGAUUGAAGCUUGCUUCACAUCGUCCAAUCAGGAGUGUCCACCGGGCUCAUAACCCGGGGGUCGUUGGUUCAAAUCCAACCCCCGCUA
This 103-nucleotide transfer RNA is filed under the name Candidatus Woesearchaeota archaeon. Its description in RNAcentral is "tRNA-Met". It matches the Rfam family "tRNA". Rfam says of the family: Transfer RNA (tRNA) molecules are approximately 80 nucleotides in length. The record is from RNAcentral. Lineage: Archaea; Nanobdellati; Candidatus Woesearchaeota.